RNAcentral lists this unclassified non-coding RNA (200 nucleotides) under soil metagenome. RNAcentral's name for it is "partial contains internal transcribed spacer 2 and large subunit ribosomal RNA". The record is from RNAcentral.
UUGUCGUGGAUAUCCACGACUCGUCUGAAAUGCUUGAGUGUACCCUGCUUUGCGGCGUAUUCGGUGUGAUACAUCUUCACCGGAGUUGAUCCUUUUGGGUCGCGUCUAUACAAGUGUGGCUCUAUGCUUCCAACCGUCUUCCAGGAGACAAUGUUUGACAAUUUGACCUCAAAUCGGGUGGGACUACCCGCUGAACUUAA